Molecule: non-coding RNA, 1174 nt
Organism: Cyanistes caeruleus (blue tit)
Lineage: Eukaryota; Metazoa; Chordata; Aves; Passeriformes; Paridae
Source: RefSeq, a predicted model, not a curated record
CAGCGCAACGCCUGCGAACCCCCUCCCCGCCCCGUCCCGGCGCCAGCGCCGCAGCCCGCCCUUGCGUAUCCUCGUUUAGGAUCCCGAAAUCACCUUUCGCGCGUGCCCUGGAUUUAAUCUCUCUCCGUCCCACACGAUGCCCGCAGCGGCGUGCCCUACAUAACAUGGGCAGGGAGAGGGACUUCACUGCAGUGCUGGCAUGGGCGGGCUGCUGGGGGAAGGGAGGGAAGGCCGCCUUUCCAAACCGUCUUGAUCACAAGAAAUUCUUGUGAUUCUCCAAGCGGCCCCCUUACUCUAGCAGCAGGGAUGCCAUGCUGGGAUUUAAGCUUCUGAAUACACGAAGGGAGCAAAUAUUGCCAAGUUCGUUCUCGAAAGCACAGGUGGAUACCGAGGAGCCUCUCCUACGGAACGAAUAAAUUGGCGGAAGUGUUAGAUACUACAGCCACAGGCUUCUCCUGUCAGCAGUGGCUGCUUUUGCCUCGGCAGGAUGGGCUGCAGCGAACCUCCUAUACAGUGCUGCGAGGCGGGAAAGGCAAGGGUGUGCUCCACUGGGAUCGGCCCGUCUGCAUCCAACACAGCCGCGGGAAUGAGAGCACAGGCAUUCCCAUACGUGCCAGCAGAAAAAAGACAUCUUCCUCUCAGUCACCCAAGACCAUUCACACUGGCAGCACAGCCAUUAUUUGGAAAUUUCUGUACCUCCUCACAUGAGACUUUUCUGUUGCACAUCCCACAAAUCAAGCCUACUCCUCAAAGUCUGUGUGGAGGCUCCAGGCCCACUCGCAGGGUUUGAUUCUCACACCAAACCCAGCUUGGUCUCGCUCUCUCUCGCUCGCUCCCAGCUGCACCAGCAAGAGAAAAUGCCUCCCUGCAUAUCCUCUGGGCCCUAGAGGCUACCGCUUUCCAUUACAAAAACUCACAAAUCUUUCCCUUGUGGCUGGUUUUGAGAUUCUUUAAGGUGAAUUAGGCUUUAAAAAAAAAAAUAAAAAUCUAAAAAAUAAAGCGCUUCAGCAGUCGACUCUCCGUUCUAAUUUUAAUGCAACAUUUUUUUCUUCCUGGUUGUCUUUGCUGAUAUAAAAAAAUAAACCCCAAGAGAAAGCAAAGCUGCCUCUGCAGAGGGUUUGCAUGCAAGGAAGGCGGCGAGGAGCUGAAUUGUGAGACCCCCCCUGGGAUUAUC